AAAAAGAACAGAUUACAUGGGAAUUUUUCCAAACUUAAUUCAGAAAUAAAUAUAUCAGUCAGUGUCAGAGAAUGCAUCCCGACCGAAGUCGCAAUGUGUAAGCGAUUUGAAGAAGGCCUGAAUGAAGACAUAAAGCUGUUAGUUAGGAUUCUGGAAUUAAAAUAAUUUGUCAUAUUGGUCAAUCGAGCUCAUAAAGCUGAAGAGCUAAGUAAAUAAAAGAGACAAGCCGAGCUGGAAAUCAGAACUUCAAGUAAAAUAUUUGCUAGAAAGUCAUAUCAGUCGGCCUCAAAGAAGUCAAAGAAAGAUUAUGACCGUUCUGUUACCUCUGCAGGAUAUUCUGGGAGAAGUAAGAGCUAUAACACCCCUAACCUUUAUCCGUUACCGGAACAGGGUUACGGAGCAUUACCAAACUUUACUAAUUAAAUACGGACAUUUCCCAACUUUUGUUACACAUAUUAAAAAUCAAUUAUAUAACACACAUAUUAUCCCUUAGAUGAACCUUCGAGGCUCAAUAUUCACCUUAGAAGUGAAUCGGGACUAAACCGGAUACUUAGGGAAUUUUUCCCAAAAUUUAAAAAAUUUUCUUAGAAGCAGGGGACACAUGCCCGUGUCUCUGCCCGUGUGAACAAAAAUAAGCCAUUUUAAGGCCACUUUUCUCACCCAUUUUGACAUUAACUUGUACUCAACAUUCACAUACACCAAUAUAUCCCAACCAAGCAAUCAAUACAAGCUAAAACAUGUUCUCAACAUGACCUAACAUCACAAAUAUUUCAUUUACUUAUACCUACCUAUUUAACUCAUUUCAUUGAUUUAUCAAAUUCUACUACUAAUUAUAUGUAUACAAACAUUUAACAUUCACAACCACAAUUCAAAUUAUUUCAUUGCCAAACCAACCCUAUACAUGCCAUAUAAACCAAAAUUUACAUUGCAAAAACUACCGGAAUAAACUGGAUAGUGUAGCUUGAUGUGUUGAUCCAAUCUUCUGACUACACGUUAAUCUACAAGAACAUUAAACAACACGAGUAAGCUUAAUAAAACUUAGUAAGUUCAAUAGGUUAAACAUUGAUCUUAUUAAACUUAAUAUAAUAUAAUAAAUUAAAUUGUAAAUAAAUCAUACAUUUUUCCCUGUCAAAUACAAUAUAAUCAAUAAACACACUUCCUUCAGAUCAAUAUCAAUAAUAAUUUAUAAAUCUUUCAAUUCAAUCACAUAAGUCUUUUACCAUUUUUUAUUGAAUCGAAGAACGACUUACAGAUAUGAGUACAUCGUUCUUUUUGUGCCAUAGUCCAACUAUGGUCUUACAUAUGCAGUGCCAUGGCCCUGCCGUGGUCUUACAUUUGUAGUGCCAUAACCCAAUUAUGGUCUUAUCAUCAGAAUGUCAUAGCCCAGCUAUGGUCUUACACAUGUAUCUAUAUUGCCAUGGUCCAACCAUGGUCUUACAUUCAAGGUGCCAUAACCCAGUUAUGGUCUUUUCAUUAAAAUGCCAUAGCUCAUUUAUGGUCUUACAUUUAAAUAUUACCAUGGUUCAACCAUGGUCUUAUCCGUCAAUUCAUUAUUUGCCACGGAAUGAUCGUACUCAAUCCUGCGUUCUACUCGUUUUAAACAUUCAAUUCAAUUUUCAUACUUCUACAAUAAUCUUAAUUUCAACAACAAAACAUGAAUAAAUAUAUUAUACAAUUCCUAAAUUGACAAAUAAUCAUGAAAGUUUAACCAUAUAAACUUACCUGGGUUGGAUUGUAAAAUUGAUAAUAGUUCAGAGACUACUCGGCUAAUUUUCCUUUUUCUCAUUGAUCUACGAGCUCUUGAUAUGAAGUAAAAAUAUAAAAACCAGCUUAAGAAGCUCUCUAAUGGCUGUUUUUGGCUGAGAAUUGAAGAAAAAUUGCUUUGAAAUCUUUAGAUUUCUUUUUAUUUAAGCUUAGUUUUACCAAAUUUACAAUUUUGCCCUUAAAUCACCUAAUUCCAAGAUUUUUUUCUGCUUAUGCCGCCUCAGCCAUUCCUUGGGAUACAUCCAUCAAUAGAAAAUGGGUCCGCCAAGAAUUGCUUCAUGCGGGAGAUGGAUUAUCAAGUGAACCAUAAUGGUGAAGAAGGAAGGUGGGAAGAUUUUCUCCAUGUUGCAUAAAGUUAAAGCGGCUCGAUCCUGUACCUCCUGAAGUUCUUGAACAUCCAAAACUUUGCCACAAAUGGUUUUUAUUAUAUUGGAUAGUUCAAUUAUACAAGACGUCACCUUCUUGGACAUACAACAUCGUAGAGCAACUGGUAGUAAAUCUUGCAUCAAGAUGUGAUAGUCAUGUGAUUUUAGCGAAUAUAAUCUUCGAUCUUUAACACUAACACAUCGAGAUAUAUUUGAUGCAUACACAUCUGGAACCUUAAUAUCCUUCAACACCAUGCAAAACAGUUCUUUUUCCGUAUUGGAUAUUGAGAACAUAGAAGGCAGCAACCGAUAUUUCUCAUUCGGAAGUGGAUUGGGAUGAAGAUCAGGCUGAAUUUCCAUUUGGACCAAAUCAAGUCGACUCUGAAGAUUGUCUUUUGAUUUUCCGUUGAAAUUUAAAAUUGUACCUACAAUGUUCUCAUAGACAUUUUUCUCAAUGUACAUAACAUCAAGAUUGUGUCAUAAAAGGUGAUGCUCCCAAUAAGGCAACUCAAAAAAAAUACUUCUUUUUUUCCACAAGUCCACCUCAUUAGGGUCGUCCUCUUCAUCAGAGUCAUCAUCAGCUUCAUCAUUUGAUCUUCUAUUUCUUUGCGUGUUUGGCGGUUGGUUGAUCUUCCCAUAAAUGAAAUUCAUAUUUUCCAACAUGAACAAGAUUUCAGAGCCACUGGUCUGCGAAGGAGCUUCUCUGAACUCUUCAGUGCUGUCAAAUACAGAACUCUGAAAUCUAAAUCUAUGAUUUUUCGGUAACCACCGACGAUGCCCCAUGUAAGAGAACUUCUUCCCAUUGUACAACCAUUGCGAACAUGUUUGUGCAGCACAACAAGGACACACAUAACGACCCUUGGUACUCCAAUCGGAUAAAUUGGCAUAAGCGGGAAAGUCAUUAAUGGUUCACAUCAAAGCUGCACGUAAAUUAAAGUUCUCAUUUCUCAGCACAUCGUAUGUCUCGACACCAGCCCAUAAUUGUUUUAACUCUUUAAUAAGUGGUUGUAAAUAAAUGUCGAUAUCAUUCCCGGGCCCUUUCUCCCCAGGGAUAAUCAUAGAUAAGAUAAGGGAAGAUUGCUUCAUGCAAAUCCACGGAGGCAGAUUGUAAGGAACAAGCACUACUGGCCAAGUACUGUACGCAGUGCUCAUGAUCUUGAAAGGAUUAAAUCCAUUAGAUGCUAGCCCAAGCCUCACACUCCUAGGAUCGCUUGCAAAGCUUGGAAAUUUAUUGUCAAAUGAUUUCCAAGCUAAAGAAUCUGUCGGAUGCCUUAAUAAUCCAUCAUCGAUUCGUCUAUCAUGGUGCCACAUCAUUGACUCCGCUGUCUUCGACGACAUGAAAAGCCUUUGAAGCCUUGGUAUCAGCGGAAAAUACUGCAAGAUCUUGACUAGCUUCUUUCUAGACUGUGCAUCAUUUUCAUCAUCGUUCCCAUAUUCUGUGUUUCUACUUAUCCAACGAGAGUAGCCGCAUACAUGACAGCACUGUUGGUUUCUCCGAUCGCCCCAAUACAACAUGCAGUCAUUUGGGCAACUAUGGAUUUUGUUGUACCCAAGGCCUAAAUCUUUUAUCAUUCUCUUCAUAUCUUUGCAUGACUGAGGGAUUUUUGCAAACGGAAACAUUUCUCUCAAAAACUCUAACAGCAUUGUCAACGAGUUUCCGGUCCACCCUCCCAAACAUUUUAAUUGAAAAAGGCGAACACAGAAGGACAUUUUUGAAAAUUUUGAUCCUUCAUACAGUUCUUCGUUCAUGUCAUUAAGUAGUGCGUAGAACUUCGCCGCUUCUCCAUUCGGAUCUUCAUGAUGUACACUACUUCCCGGUUCGGUAAAAACAUUUCCACCAAUAUUACAAUCAUCAGAUGCCACAAAGUCCGCCGGAAACGACUGGACACCAUGAUUGUGCAUAUUAAAUACAUCCCGCAACAUACCUUCCAUGUCAUCCCCUCUAUCAAACUGAUGGUAAGCAGUAUCAGGAUAAGAUACAUCCAUCCUUGAAGAGGAAGUACUAGGCGGGCAUUCUCCAUGAAAUAACGAUUGUUUAUAACCCCGAACAAACCCAUCAACAAUUAGAUGCUCGUAUACAACCUCACGAUAAUGCCAGUUUAUGUUGACACAAUUCUUACAGGGGUAAAGAAUCAUGUUCUCUUGGCUUGCGUAUUGAAAUGAAAAAUUUAGAAACGUCUGUACUCCAUUUCGAUAACCGUUGCUUACCCUUGACAAAUUCAUCCAAGACCGGUCCAUUUCUUAAUUAUUGAAGUCUGAUUUUCACCAGAAAUUACAACAUUCAGUUCUUCACUUAUAAGUAUAAAUGAGUUAUGUAAGUUAAGUAAUGUAUUAUGUAAGUUAUGAAAGUUAUGUAAUAAGUUCUGUAUUAUAUAUGUAAGUUAUUUAACUUAUGUAUUAUGAAAUUUUAUCUUAAUAAUAAAUAAGUUAUCUAAACUUAGAAAUUGAUGUGUAAUUAGAAAUUUUAUCUUAAUAUUAUAUAAGUUAUGUAAUGAGAAAUUAAUAUUAUCUAAGUUAUGUUAUUAGAAAUUAAUAUUAUAUAAGUUAUGUAAUUAGAAAUUUUAUCUUAAUAUUAUAUAAGUUAUCCAACUCAUUUAUAUAAGUUAUCUUAAUAUUAUAUAAGUUAUGUAAGUUUAUGUAUGAAGGCUAUGCAAGUUAUGUAAUGUAUCAACUUUUAAAAAUAUAAGAUAAAUUAAAUAAAUAUAUAUAAUUAAUAAGUUAAAAUAAAAUUUAUUAAUAAGUUAUGUAAUUUAUGUAAACACAAUUGCUAAUUCAUUGACAUUCAAUGAAUUAAUCGAUCAAAUUAUUGUAUGAAAAUGAUUAUUAAACACUAACAUUCAAUCAGUUAAUCGCAUCUAACAUCGAUAGUUUAUUAAUUUAAGAGUAAAUUUGAUAACUCAUUUCUUUGCCAAAAUCGAUAAAUUUUUCACAUUAAACCGAAUAAACUAAUCGCCCAUAAUUUAUUCAAAUACUCAAAAACAUAAAGUGCUUUAAGAAUUAGCAUAAUCCAAAAUUUAGUAAACUCUGUAGAUUGUUUUUGUUUGGGUAAACAGUUCGUGGAGACAUAUCAAAUCAUAAUUUAAACAUCGCAAUAAUGUAAUCAGGUAGCUGCAAAGUUACAUACACAAAUUAUAAGUAAACAAAUACCCAUAGGCUCAAAACCAAAAAGCUUAAUUAAAACUCUCUUUUAAUACUCAAAAAUAAUAAGUAAACUAUUAAGUUAAAAUAUAUCAAAAUCAGAAAUUUAAACAUUUGGAUGUGUUUUUGUAAGAAAACUAUGUAGGAAACAUAGGAAUAAAUACCUCAAAUUUCCUCAAAUUUGAAGCAAACUUUUGCAAAAAAAAUAACAAAACACAACUAACUUUAUUAGUACCAAAAAAACAAGAAAAAACACAACAGAAGUAAACAGAGGAUUAUUUAACUACAUUUAGAUUCAAAUCAAUGUAUCAAUUUUAAUUAUCACAACAAUCAACUUAAUAUGAAUUGAUAAAGUAACACUCAAUAAUUGAAUUGUACGAUUCAAUCAAUUGAAGUGAAGGUUAAUGUCUCAACUCUCGAGUAACUAACAAACACAUAACCCGUGGUAGCAUGCAUUCUCAUCCAAUAAUAAUUUUUUUGUAACUACAGCCAAACAAUCAAUAACAAUCAUUCUCAUCCAAUAAUUUUUUUUGUAAAGUUUGAAAGGUAAAUAAAUCUUAUACCAAAUUCUAAUGACAAACAUGCUAAGCUAAGUGUGAUGAAAGAAAAAAAGAAGAAAGUUUUUAAGCUCUGUACUAAUAAAAGCUCUGUAGUCUGUACUAAUAAAAGCAUGGCAAAAGGAACAGUAUUUACAAUUUCUUUCUUUAAUAGAUGGUAAAUUCACUAAUUGAAAAGCACCAGUUUCUGCCUACUGCUCCUUGAAGAUAUACAAGUAAUACUGCCUGAAAGUAAAAUAUAGUGUAAGAACUAGUCCUUAAAUUUUAGAUUUUUGUAGUUUUCUAAUAAGGUUAAUUAAGAUUUAGUUGACUUGGGGUUUUUCAUCACUUCAUAAGAAAAGAUAAGAUUCCCUCGGUUUUCACGGGAGGCAAACAAACAUAGAACGAACUAAGAAACCCAUCCAGCCAACAUCCUUAUCAAGAAAUCAAGAUAUCAAUCAAACUGCUCAAAAAUUCAAAAGGCGAAUCAUAAAAGAAAAAAAAAUCGUUAGCAUACCACAAGAAAAAAGAGAAAAGAAAAUUUGUUUGUUUAACCAAUAAGUUGGAUUAAGAACAAGAAAGAAAACUGAAACAAUCCGUAUGAAAAAAAGAGGCAAAAAUGAAAGAAAAUAACAAUCCGUAUAAAAAAGCAUGCAAGCAAUAUGAUGAGGAUCAACAUAAGCAUCUAACUUAUGUACUUAAGAACUUCAUCGCUGAAGUCAAAAUCCUCAUGCAAAUCUCCCUCGUUCACACUCAAGGAAGGCACUGAAUUUCCCAGAAUCGGAACAGGUUAUCAACAUUUAGUCCUACUAUAUCAGAACAGGUUCCAAAGGAAGGCACUAAAUUUCCCGGAACCAUCCAUGACUAUCAAGUUCCCAACCUAAAGACCUUAAAACAUCAAAACAAUACAGCAUCAAACAUAGUGAAAACAGGGAUUAAAAUAAAAAACCAAAAUUCUUUUAGACAUUACAAUAACAAUAACAUAAAACAAAAUUCCUUAAGAACAUAAAAAUAAUACAGCAUCAAACAUAAGUAAAACUGGGUUUAAAGUUUAAACUAAAACUUAAAACUUUGGGGCUUCAUAAUAACAAAAAGAUAAAAUUCUUCAACAGUUCAUAACAUAAAAAUAAUACCUUCGAACAGUAAAUAACAUUUAAAAAGAAAACAAAAACAAAACUUUGGACAGCAUAAAACAUAAAACAUAAAACAUAAAAUAAGAUGUUUUUAAGUACACAAGAAUUAUCUGGUUGAUUUGCAAGCCAGAGUACAGCUCGAAAAUUUCAAUUCAAAUGAAAACUAAAGUUGGCUCACCUUGAACUUGUUUAUUUGAAGG
This 7136-nucleotide long non-coding RNA is filed under the name Gossypium raimondii (Peruvian cotton). Its description in RNAcentral is "long non-coding RNA (GRAI_LNC005145)". Lineage: Eukaryota; Viridiplantae; Streptophyta; Magnoliopsida; Malvales; Malvaceae. The record is from RNAcentral.